This 253-nucleotide ribosomal RNA is filed under the name uncultured bacterium. Its description in RNAcentral is "partial 16S ribosomal RNA". It matches the Rfam family "Bacterial small subunit ribosomal RNA", at positions 524 to 776 of the family's 1533-position model. The record is from RNAcentral.
UACGGAGGUGGCAAGCGUUGCUCGGAAUCACUGGGCGUAAAGGGCGCGUAGGCGGGGAGGUAAGUCGGGUGUGAAAUCCCUCGGCCCAACCGAGGAACUGCGCCCGAGACUGCUUCUCUUGAGUCCCGGAGAGGAAGCUGGAAUUCCCGGUGUAGCGGUGAAAUGUGUAGAGAUCGGGAGGAACACCGGUGGCGAAGGCGGUCUUCUGGACGGUGACUGACGCUGAGGCGCGAAAGCGUGGGGAGCAAACGGG